Molecule: long non-coding RNA, 762 nt
Filed under: Homo sapiens (human)
Lineage: Eukaryota; Metazoa; Chordata; Mammalia; Primates; Hominidae
Description: HSALNT0010855
Source: RNAcentral
GUGAGGUGAAGUGCAAUAAGAAAAAGUAAAUAUGGAACAUGAGAUGUCUGUUUUACUCAGCCUUUGCAUGUGUCAGACUGAAAUUUCAGAAAACGUCACCAAACUUCCAAAAAGCAUCCCCAGUAAGAAAGACGGACUUGAGACCCGGUGAAGAAAACCAAUGGGAGAAUCCUGCCUCUGCUCUGAAGCCUUUCUGUUCGCUCCAGUGAAAAUUAGUCAUCCACCGGGCGCGGUGGCUCACGCCUGCAAUCCCAGCACUUUGGGAGGCCGAGGUGGGUGGAUCACUUGAGGUCGGGAGUUCAAGACCAGCCUAACCAGCAUGGAGAAACCCCAUCUCUAGUAAAAAUACAAAAAAUUAGCCAGGUGUGGUGGCGCAUGCCUGUAGUCCCAGCUCUUGGGAGGCGGAGGCAAGAGAAUCGCUUGAACCCAGGAGGCAGAGGUUGUGGUGAGCUGAGAUUGUGCCAUUGCACUCUAGCCUGGUCAACAAGAGUGAAACUCCAUCUCAAAAAAAAAAAAAGAAAGAAAAUUAGUCAUCCUAUUUGACAUCAUAUUGUACAUAGGAUACUAUUCUUGUGGCACUUAUGGUUUUGGUGCCAUGGUUUUUGGCAGUGUUUAUGCUAAUUAGAUUGAAAGUUCCACAGUACUACAUUAGUUAGGUCUGUAUCUAAUACAGAAUGGGCCCCCACUAAGAAUUUUCUGGAGGGAUGUUGAGGGCAUGAAUGGUAGGCCCAGCAGUAAAAAUUCUUCCAGUGUGAUUUUUUU